This 433-nucleotide long non-coding RNA is filed under the name Elaeis guineensis (African oil palm). RNAcentral describes it as "long non-coding RNA (EGUI_LNC082400)". Lineage: Eukaryota; Viridiplantae; Streptophyta; Magnoliopsida; Arecales; Arecaceae. The record is from RNAcentral.
ACAAAACAAAGACUUUAAUUCAAUAUUAAUUACCUAAAGCAAGAAUGCAAGAAUAUAAUAAAGAAAUAAAGUGAAGCGAUAAAGCACACCACAAACACAAGGAUUUAUAGUGGUUCGGUGCCAACCUUGCACCUACAUCCACUCCCCAAGCUCCUACUUGAGAAUUUCAAUCCACUAUCUUUGUAUUCAACCCGAAUACAAAACAUCGGAAACUCCGACACUAGCUAUCCCAAGCUAGAUCACUUGUUUUUCGAGUACAAGUAAACCCAAAACACUCCGAUUUCAGGUUCGGAUCAACCUUUCCUUGUUUUGGAAAUCCUCCAAAAACAAGAACAAAAACUCACAAAGAGUUAGAAAAUUUUGAGCACAGAUUAAUACAAUAACAGCUCCUUUAAAUGAGCGAAUAUAAUAAUAAAAACUUUACUCAAAUGAA